AGGAAAUACAAAAUUUAGUGUUAAAUCUUUUGAACAGUCAUAAGUUUGCUGUCUGUGCACUGAUUUAAAUAAUUUGUGCAAUUAGAAUAUAGAACUUGUUUUGUGUAGUACUCAAAACAUAUGCAACAUCGUUUAAAAAUUGAAAUACACAGCUCAAUCACGAAAAGAAGUGUAUAGUGCAUAAUAAGCAACAAAAUUCUUUCGUACAUUUUGAUAUUUCGAAUAGAUAUUUUAAUAUAUAAACUAAAAUUACAAAAUGUCUGAAGUCACUGAUAUUGUUGAAGGCUCCAUUCCUGAAGAGCAGGACGUAUCCAAUAAUAUUACUUAUCCAGAGAAAACCGAGGAGUUGCUUAAAGAGGAGGUUGUAGGCGAAACUGAAAAAAUGGUUACUGAGACUGUCGACGAGGAUGGUGAUGUCGUGGAAGAGACCACUGAAGUAACUCGUAAAACUGUAAAGCGUACCAUGAAAAUUACAGAGACUUCGUCGACUACAAAAACCACUACUAUGACAACGCCGGCGAAGCUUUAUGGCAAAGAUUUAAGUGAAUAUGAUGAAGUGGACGUUGAUGCUUUAUUGGCACAAUUAUCACCUGAAGAAAUAAAUAUAUUAGCUAAGGAAGUAGAUCCCGAUGACAAUUUUUUGCCGCCUGAUCAACGUUGCAGUUAUGAAUGUGUUAAAAGUCCUACCGGACCUUUGGAUCGUAAGAAGCUAAUUGAACAUAUUAACAAGGAGGCUGUGGAAACUCCUGAUCAACCAGAAUUUGAACCAUAUAUUAAAGGUACAGUUCGGGGCAAGAAAUGGGUCCCACCACCUAGAGAUGAACGCGAAAUUGAAGCCGAAGAACAAAUUGCUAUUGAUUUAGGUGAUGAGUAUGAACAGGCUUUGACAGAUGCCACGCAAGAAGAAAUAAUAGACUUAGCAGCAAUACUUGGUUUUCAUUCUAUGAUGAACCAAGAUCAGUAUCAUGCUUCCUUAUUAAAUAAAGGUCAACCUGUUGGUUUAGGAUGGGAUGGUAUAACCAAAUCAACACAGCAAAAAUUAUAUCCUAUGGAUCCACCUAACGAUACUGAUAUUGAUGAAUCAAUAAAACGCGUCAAAAAUGAUGACGUGAAACUGAUCGAAUUAAACUUAAAUAAUAUUAAAAAUAUUUCUGAUGAAAAAUUUGAGCAACUUUUUGUAGCACUGCCCCAGAAUGAACAUUUAGAAGUUCUUUCGUUAACUAAUGUUGGCCUUACUGAUAAAACAGCUCUUCUUCUAGCAGAAGCAAUUGAAAAAAGCAAAACCUUAAGAGUAUUAAAUGUUGAAACAAAUUUCAUUAGCCCGCCCGUGAUUGUAACUCUAGUAAAAGCUUUGCUUAAAUGUCGUACCAUUGAAGAGUUUAGAGCUUCAAAUCAACGAUCAUCAGUGCUUGGUAACAAAAUUGAAAUGGAAAUUACCGAUUUAGUGGAGCAGAAUACAUCACUACUCAGGCUAGGGUUGCACUUGGAAUUUAAUGAUGCUCGUCAUAGAGUUGCUGCACAUCUACAACGUAACAUUGAUAGAAUUGUACGCGUACAAAAAAUGAAACCGAGCUUACCAAAAUUAAUUUUACCUCCGGCGAAUAUGGAAAUAGAAUACCCGGAGCCCCUUUCGUUAACUCCAUCACCUACACCAUCCCCUCAGCCUCAGAACGACUAUGACGUAGAGGUGGACCCUGACAAUGUGGUUAUUCGUGGUGGCGCAAAUAAUUUUGAUCCAGAAAUUGAUCCUGAUAAUACCAUAAUUCCUGGCAGUCGUGCCGUUACACCAAUAGAUGAUAAUGAUAACAUUGAGCAAACUGCAACUCUUAAUGAAGAUAUCUCCAGUUUUAAAGCACAUACGACAAAUAUCCAUCUGAAUGUAAAUUAGUUUAUAAAACAUAAAAAUAUAAAACUUUAUAUAUGCAAAAAUUUAAGAACUAAUUAAUUCAACAUUAUACAAUAAGUUAUAAGUAUAUACAAUUGAGACUAUAAAACAAAUCAGAUAAAAUAAAUUGCGUAUACAUAAAAACUAAUAGAAGAACUAUUAAGAACAGCGCUUGGAAAUUUUAAGCACACAAAUAAAUCAUCGCAAGGACCUCUACAUUCUAACCUAUAUACAUGUAUAUAUAUGUAUAUGUGCGUGUGCGUGUGUGUGUGUAUACAUAAAAUACGUGUCAACCGCCUCAACCAGCGUAAAUAAAUGUGUACCGAAAAACCUGAGAUCCCGAACAACACCUGUAUUGCCACCACUAAAUAUAUUUAAUUCUAAAAAUACAAUAACGAUCAAUAGAAACAAAUUCAAAUUAAGUAAGAGUCAAUUUGCAGCUUUAGGAAAUUUUGAAAUUGAUUAGUACAAACGAUUUUGUCAAUACAAACUACAGACCACGAGAAAGAAAGUCCCAUUGUUGUUUGAAAAAUCAGAAAUAGGCGGGCGUCAACGUCGCGUGGGUCACUUUGGAAGAAAUUACACCGUGGGAGUUUGGCAAUAUAAAUCCUUUGAAGAUUGAUUUGAGUAGCAGCACUCGUCAUAUUUAAACUCUGCAAAUCUGCAAAUCGCACUUUAUAUUAUAUUUAAAGUAAAAAUCAGGGACCGAAAAUAACAGUUAUUUUAAAAUUUUUUAUGAAAAAAA
This is an RNA transcript of Teleopsis dalmanni, 2630 nucleotides long. It is a transcript of the gene named tropomodulin, with no coding region annotated. The record is from RefSeq and is a predicted model, not a curated record. NCBI's taxonomy places the organism in Eukaryota, Metazoa, Arthropoda, Insecta, Diptera, Diopsidae. The transcript is spliced from 11 exons.